GAGUUUGAUCAUGGCUCAGAGCGAACGCCGGCGGCAUGCUUAACACAUGCAAGUCGCACGGUCAGCAAUGGCAGUGGCGGACGGGUGAGUAACACGUAGGAAUCUAUCUCUGGGUGGGGGACAACAGUGGGAAACUACUGCUAAUACCGCAUGAUACCUGAGGGUCAAAGGCGUAAGUCGCCUGGAGAGGAGCCUGCGUCUGAUUAGCUUGUUGGUGGGGUAAAGGCCUACCAAGGCUACGAUCAGUAGCUGGUCCGAGAGGAUGAUCAGCCACAUUGGGACUGAGACACGGCCCAAACUCCUACGGGAGGCAGCAGUGGGGAAUAUUGGACAAUGGCGAAAGCCUGAUCCAGCAAUGCCGCGUGUGUGAAGAAGGUCUUCGGAUUGUAAAGCACUUUUGGCAGGGACGAUGAUGACGGUACCUGCAGAAUAAGCCCGGCUAACUUCGUGCCAG
This 454-nucleotide ribosomal RNA is filed under the name bacterium enrichment culture clone ALO1_GLFRUDD03G6WZB. RNAcentral's name for it is "bacterial SSU rRNA". It matches the Rfam family "Bacterial small subunit ribosomal RNA", at positions 9 to 511 of the family's 1533-position model. The record is from RNAcentral.